This 29-nucleotide non-coding RNA is filed under the name Homo sapiens (human). The record is from RNAcentral. Lineage: Eukaryota; Metazoa; Chordata; Mammalia; Primates; Hominidae.
UGGACUUGAACCACACGUCCCCAAGGUGU